RNAcentral lists this long non-coding RNA (755 nucleotides) under Setaria viridis. Its description in RNAcentral is "long non-coding RNA (SVIR_LNC007680)". Lineage: Eukaryota; Viridiplantae; Streptophyta; Magnoliopsida; Poales; Poaceae. The record is from RNAcentral.
GGAGAUAUGGUUGAAACCGUGCAGGGGUGUCAGCUGAAUCCAAACCGAACGCAACGAUCGAGUUGGUGACGACUUGUGACUUGGGGAAGACCAUGACUCGUGUGCGUCUAGCAGGGCGAUGUCCUCAUCACAACACAUCAAUGCGCCUGAUGAUCUUGCCCCAUGUCUCGGUAGGCAGUUUCGCACCAUUGCACAGUUGGCACUGCAAGCACGAGGGAGGACGGCAUGAUAGAGUUCUCGAAGGUGCUGCAAAGGUAGAGAUGGCGGAGAAGCUUUUGCAUUGGUUUCUUUGGGCUAGGAGAACUAGGAGAAUACACAAGCAGAUAACGCUGACAAGUACUCAAAUAAAUGUGUGUACGCACCUUGAAAAAAAAAGGAAACACGGGGCUGAUUUGUCGGGUGGGAGAUUCAAUCAUCCUUUCCUAAUUUGAGGUGCGCAUCCUUGGUUUAUGGCAAAGAAUGUGGCAUCCAGUCCUGAUAUAUGGCAAAGUUUCAAUGAUAGGUAUUGACGAUUAUUCUCUUCUACCCCCAUGAUUUUCCCCCCUGAUUAUGUUUAUCAAUUUUCUAUACUUCACAUUUCCUUGUAUAGUUUUUAAUUCGUGCAUGGUAAUUUAUCUCUGUUAUAAUCGCUCCGCCUGACCUCCAGUAUAUCCAAUUUUGUUAUUCCUUUCCUUCUAUAAAGCAAACACGACUUGCCUAUAUAUUCCCUCCACGUACCACUUUGCAACUAUUCUCUCUUUUUCCUCACGUAGGCU